Molecule: unclassified non-coding RNA, 370 nt
Filed under: Hevea brasiliensis (rubber tree)
Lineage: Eukaryota; Viridiplantae; Streptophyta; Magnoliopsida; Malpighiales; Euphorbiaceae
Source: RNAcentral
AAAGGAACCACUCAAAUUGAAUUUCAAUAUAAUUUGGAAAUUUAACAAAUGAAAAUGAAAAAUGAAUCCACCAUGGAAAAAAAUAACACACAAACUCAACACAAAAGUAAAUUUUCAUAAGAUAAGAUAACCAUACAAAAGACAUUUUAGGUGGUUCAACUUUUUGGGGUUUUCAAUUUGAGUGUCUGAAUUUUAUUUCUAUGGACUUAACUACCUGAACUGAAAACAAACUUGCAAUCAAGUACCUUUACACUUUCCAAGUGAUUGGAAAUGCAUAAUAGAUUAAAAUAUAGGAAAGCAUGGAAAUUAUAAUAUUUAAUAUAUUUUUUUAAACAUAGGCAUGGAAUAUUUAUUUAUUUAUUUUUUUAAA